GAUGAACGCUGGCGGCGUGCUUAACACAUGCAAGUCGAACGGUGAACCCCAUCUGGCUGGGUGGAUUAGUAGCGAACGAGUAACUAACACGUGAGUAACCUGCCCUUGACUCUUGACUAAGCCUGGGAAACUCGAUUACAUACUGGAUAUCACUUCUCAUCUGAGUGUGGGUGGUGGGAAGUUUUAGUGGUCUUUGAUGGACUCGCGGCCUAGCAGGUUGUUGGUGAGGUAAUGGAUCACCACGGCGACGACGGGUAGCCGGCCUGAGAGGGUGACCGGCCACACUGGGACUGAGACACGGCCCAGACUCCUACGGGAGGCAGCAGUGGGGAAUAUUGCACAAUGGGCGGAAGCCUGAUGCAGCGACGCCGCGUGAGGGAUGACGGCCUUCGGGUUGUAAACCUCUUUCAGUAGGGAAGAAGCGAAAGUGACGGUACCUGCAGAAGAAGCGCCGGCUAACUACGUG
RNAcentral lists this ribosomal RNA (466 nucleotides) under uncultured bacterium. Its description in RNAcentral is "partial 16S ribosomal RNA". It matches the Rfam family "Bacterial small subunit ribosomal RNA", at positions 28 to 507 of the family's 1533-position model. The record is from RNAcentral.